This is a non-coding RNA of Myotis brandtii (Brandt's bat), 75 nucleotides long. Lineage: Eukaryota; Metazoa; Chordata; Mammalia; Chiroptera; Vespertilionidae. The record is from Rfam.
GGCAGUUCUCAGGUAUAGCACCCUGGAAUUGUGCUCCUUCCUCUCUGGUUCCAGGUGUGUCACCCAAGAACCGCA